Molecule: ribosomal RNA, 607 nt
Filed under: Salmonella enterica subsp. salamae serovar Sofia
Lineage: Bacteria; Pseudomonadati; Pseudomonadota; Gammaproteobacteria; Enterobacterales; Enterobacteriaceae
Description: partial 23S ribosomal RNA
Rfam family: Bacterial large subunit ribosomal RNA
Source: RNAcentral
UGGUGGGUAGUUUGACUGGGGCGGUCUCCUCCUAAAGAGUAACGGAGGAGCACGAAGGUUGGCUAAUCCUGGUCGGACAUCAGGAGGUUAGUGCAAUGGCAUAAGCCAGCUUGACUGCGAGCGUGACGGCGCGAGCAGGUGCGAAAGCAGGUCAUAGUGAUCCGGUGGUUCUGAAUGGAAGGGCCAUCGCUCAACGGAUAAAAGGUACUCCGGGGAUAACAGGCUGAUACCGCCCAAGAGUUCAUAUCGACGGCGGUGUUUGGCACCUCGAUGUCGGCUCAUCACAUCCUGGGGCUGAAGUAGGUCCCAAGGGUAUGGCUGUUCGCCAUUUAAAGUGGUACGCGAGCUGGGUUUAGAACGUCGUGAGACAGUUCGGUCCCUAUCUGCCGUGGGCGCUGGAGAACUGAGGGGGGCUGCUCCUAGUACGAGAGGACCGGAGUGGACGCAUCACUGGUGUUCGGGUUGUCAUGCCAAUGGCACUGCCCGGUAGCUAAAUGCGGAAGAGAUAAGUGCUGAAAGCAUCUAAGCACGAAACUUGCCCCGAGAUGAGUUCUCCCUGAGACUUUGAGUCUCCUGAAGGAACGUUGAAGACGACGACGUUGAUAGG